This 106-nucleotide ribosomal RNA is filed under the name Microtus ochrogaster (prairie vole). The record is from RNAcentral. Lineage: Eukaryota; Metazoa; Chordata; Mammalia; Rodentia; Cricetidae.
CCCUGUCUCAGAAACACCCUGGACUCGCCCGAUCUCAUCUGAUCCCAGAAGUUAAGCAAGGUCAGGCCUGGUUAGUACUUGGAUGAGAGAAACUAAGGUGGAGGGU